GGUNUGUGAGGAUGACCAGCCAGACUGGGANUGAGAUACGGCCCAGACUCNUACGNNNNNCAGCAGCAAGGAAUUUUNGUCAAUGGGCGCAAGCCUGANCGAGCAACGCCGNGUGGAGGANGACGGCCUUNGGGUUGUAAACUCCUUUUGCGGGGGAUNAUNGUGACCGUACCCCGCGAAUAAGGCUCGGCUAACUCUGUGCCAGCAGCCGCGGUAAGACAGAGGAGCCAAGCGUUGUCCGGAUUGACUGGGCGUAAAGCGCANGCAGGCGGUCGUGCACGUGGGGUGUGAAAACUGGCGGCUUAACUGCCAGAGGCCACCUCAUACGGCGCGACUCGAGCCCUGCAGAGGUCCACGGAAUUGCCGGUGUAGUGGUGAAAUGCGUAGAGAUCGGCAGGAACACCCAGGGGGAAACCAGUGGACUGGGCAGGAGCUGACGCUCAGGUGCGAAAGCGUGGGGAGCGAACCGGAUUAGAUACCCGGGUAGUCCACGCCGUAAACGAUGAAUACUCGGCAUUUGGUGGGCGAUUUUCGUCCGCCGGGUGCCCCAGCUAACGCGGUAAGUAUUCCGCCUGGGAANUACGAGCGCAAGCUUNAAACU
This 601-nucleotide ribosomal RNA is filed under the name uncultured bacterium. Its description in RNAcentral is "partial 16S ribosomal RNA". It matches the Rfam family "Bacterial small subunit ribosomal RNA", at positions 289 to 901 of the family's 1533-position model. The record is from RNAcentral.